Molecule: transfer RNA, 85 nt
Filed under: Bradyrhizobium sp.
Lineage: Bacteria; Pseudomonadati; Pseudomonadota; Alphaproteobacteria; Hyphomicrobiales; Nitrobacteraceae
Also listed under: 2 other names
Description: tRNA-Leu(cag)
Rfam family: tRNA
About the family: Transfer RNA (tRNA) molecules are approximately 80 nucleotides in length. Their secondary structure includes four short double-helical elements and three loops (D, anti-codon, and T loops).
Source: RNAcentral
GCGGACGUGGCGGAAUUUGGUAGACGCACCGGUCUCAGACGCCGGCGCCUUGCGCAUGUGGGUUCGAGUCCCUCCGUCCGCACCA